AGCCUAGUCUUUGUCUUUUAAUCUUCUGAGCAUGUGAUUUAGCCCUGUACUGUGUUAGAUGUAGUCCUUAGUUUGAUUAAAUGGGAUAAUGGCACUAUAAGUGGCCUAAAUGUAUCAGUGUUAAAUGUCCAAGCCUGUGUGGAGUCAUGUUAUUUGCUUUGUCCAGUUAUUCAUGUUCAAAAUGCAUAAAUCCUGCCUUAUGACACUACUUGUUUGAUCUGAACCUAUCUGAUUAAAGUAUGAUAAGAACCAAUCUCAUGCCUGUUUUGUUUCUCCUAUGUACUGUUCAGAAGGAUGAUAUUUAAUCCUUGAAUAUUGAUUAAAACUUGGGUUUGUUUGGCUCACUACUAGAGUGUGUCUAAUCAGUGUUAUGUUUAGUUUUGAUCUAGGAACCUGCUAAGCAUGUCAAUGUAAUUUAAGUUCCCUGUGGUUGGCUAUCUUGUUGGCUAUUUUUGCUUAAUCUUCAUUAAUAUGUGUGGGGAUUGCUCAAUCUGAUUUAAACAUGCUAGGCGGUACAUAAACUCAUAUAUUUGCUUAACAUUCUCUUUGACUUAGACUAAUAUGUAAAUUGAUAUUGAUACUUGAGGCAUGCCUAUACUUGUUUAAGUUAAGUUCAAGGUCACUUGUGACCUAUGGUGUUUGAUAUACUAGAAUGGUUUCUCUGUGAUAUGUUGUUUGAGUCAAAGUUUGUUUUCAAAAUGUAUUGUUGAUACUAGGAUAGUACCCUCAUGCCUACUGGAUCUGAAACUGAAUUCAUUGAAAUAAAAAAAAUGAUAUUUACUUGAUUCAAUAAGAUGCACCAAACCUUUGCAUGCCUCUUCCCCCUUUUAAUGACUCUGUUUUAAAAAAAAAAAAAAAAACUAUGAGGUCUGCGCUAUUUGGUCUGUUAUUGGUUUUUGUUAUUAUAAGUCUCAGAUUGUAUUUUAAAAGAGCUAAAGGCAUUUUUAACUUAGUUUAGCGUCUGUGAACUUGUACUAAUGCUUUGUUGAGUCUUGUAAUGAUGUUUGAAGUCCCCUGUUGACAAAAUCUGUUAGUCAUGUGUUGUAUGACCCUGUAUGUGACUCUGUAUGUUUGCUUUCAUUAACUGUAUGUGACUUAAGUGUUGUCUAAAGUUAGCAUAAGUACUGAAAGGCUAAGUUGAAAGGAGGAUGGCACUUAGUACAUGGAUGAAUAUGAGUGUGAUGUUUAUACUCAAGUAGGAUAUAUGUUGCAAAUGUUUGUUAAAUUGAUUCAGCUGUUCAGGAUCUGUGUCACUUGUGGCUUCAAUGAUCUCAAUUGGAGAGUUUAAGUUAAGGGAACCAGGUUUGGUGUGAAGUUUUUGUAAUCUGUUCUGAGGUUAAACCCCUGAAAUCCUUGGAUUUUUUUUUCUUGUGGGGAAUAUGUGACAAGUACUUCCUUUCCAUUAUGAAGUAAGUUUAAUUUUGUGAUUUGUAUGAGGCCAAAAGACAUCAUGCAUAGCUCUAAAAGUUAAUGACAGUAGUCAGUGGUAUUUAUCUUUGAUAACAUUUCCUUUCAAAAAAAAAUUAGUUGAAUCAUGGUUACCUCUUAUUAAUUAGAAAGGUUUGAAUAAUGUAGUAGUCAUAGCUAAGUGUAAAUCUAGUGUAAAUCUCUCUACCAAAGAGUUUCAAAAGGAUUCAAAGAACUGUUUUGUCUUCAAUUGCAUUCACUAAAUCUACAUGAUUUCUAAAAGCUCAACAUGAGGUUAGUUCUAAGUUCUGUAUGAUUUCAGCAUGAUUGAAAGUUGUUCCUUUCUGCUUGUAAAAAAGAUUCUUUUCUACACUGGCUAAGUGAAAUUUUGUGAAAAAAAGGAAAGAAUAAGGAGUUUUGGUUUUCUUUGCUUCUGGACUAAUUUCACCAUGUUCUUUCAAGCUGAAUAUAUUCUUUCAUGAUAUUAUUCCUGUUUGUUAUUCUUUUCCUAUAAUUUGGUUUAGAAUAAGAGAUCUUAAAAAAUAGGGAAAAGUAUUCAAAACACACUCAAACUAUGGCCAAAAUUGUCAUAACACACCUCAACUUUGCAGGGGUCCUAUGACCCCCCUGGACUUAUUUUUGUGUAUUAUUUAUGCUUUCAACCGGACAAAGUCACUCAAACGACAUUGAGUGUAUGCACGCGCUCAUAAAGUUAAAACCAGACGGGUCAUUUUCAUUAUUUUGCUUUCCGAAAUUUGAAAUCCAGAAUUCUCACUCACCUUCCACUCGAUUUCUACCAUUUUAAUCACUCAAAUACUAUUUUGUUCUGCAAAUUAGUGUGAAUCAUAGUUAAACUAAGUUUAGGUGGUAACAUCGCGGUGGAUUUUGACCCGAAAUCGUCGAUUUAUCUUCAAGGUAGUGUCAAGCUUUUAGUGAACUGAAAAAAAUACCAGGUUAGUAGUGUUCUUUGUCAGUAUUGUACGCAUAAAGUUUAUUUUUUUCUAUAUUAUAUAGGAUUUGUGACAUUGUCGUAUGAAUUUAUAGGGUUUGUUAAAAAAUUAUGGGUUUUUCCUAGUUUAAAUUGGGGUUAUUUGGGGUUAAGAGAUGUGUAAUCUUAUGUCGUGUAGUAUUACUGUUGUAAGUGCGUCCAAUUUAUUUUCACCCCAAAAUGUGAUUUUGGGGUCUGUUUGGCCUUGUAUUGUCAGAAGUCUGAAUUUAAUUAUUGUUAUUUGAUGUGUGUGUGGGGUUAUGAUCGUUGUUGACCAUAUAUUGUUAUUGUAUAUGUGUGGUACUGAUUGUUUGUACUAUUAUUGAAUUGUAAUUUCAGGUAUGAGUGGGUUUGUAUUAGUAACAUUGAGAUGGUGUCAUGGUGGGGUUUUGGAUGUCAAUAGUGGGCAACCAAAGUAUGAGGGUGGACAAAUAACAGAGUUUUUGGAUAUUGAUGUGGAUAGGAUGUCCUUUUUUGAACUAUGGGAUUAUAUUAAAGAACUAGGGUAUACUACAAGUUGUUCAUUUUGUGUUAGGAGACCUAAUAGUGACAAUGUUGUAGAAAUCCAAACUGAUAGGGACAUUUUGGAAAUUUCACAAAGUUUUGAAAAUGGGGAUACUAUUGAAAUCUAUGUCUGUCGCAUGGUUGAUAAUUUAGAUAAUUUAGAUGGUCCCAUUGCUUUUUUGGAAUACACUAGCCCCCAAUGAGGAAUCUUUGGGUGUUUUUAAUGAAGAAAGGUAUGGGGGUAUCCAAGAAGGGGAUGGGUUUGCUUUUAAUAAAGAACCAGCAGCUACUGAAACUGCAGCACCUGCUGAACCAGUAGCUGCUGAAACUGCUGCUUCUGAAAACCCAUUAAGUAGUGAAUUUCCUAUUCUUGAAUCUGACCAGUCCACUGAUGAUAGUUCUGAGUCUGACCAAGCUGAACUAUUUAAUGAACAUGAUGUUGGACAUGAAAGUGAUGAUGUUCAUGAAGAGUGCAUAAAUUUGAGGGCAGAAAGGAGGUCAUAUCAGAGGAGGAAAAGAAGAGAAAGGAUACCAAAUGACCCUGGAGAAAUUCCUAUUGGUGAAGUUGGUCCAGAUCUGGGCUUUGAUGAAACUGCUACUCCUGACAUAAGCUUGAAAGGUAAGGUUGCUGGGGAUGAGCCAGUGUAUGUCAGUUCUGAUGCAUAUAGUGUUGAAUCAGAUACAGAUGAUGAGUCAGGGUCUAGGAGGGCUAGGAGAAGGAUAAUUUUUGACAAAACUGUUGAAAAAGUGAUAUGGGAGUUGGGGAUGGUUUUGAGGAUGUAAAUGAGUUUACGGAUGUUGUUACAAAAUAUGCACUUCAAAGGGGUGUGCAGUUAGAGAAAUUUGUCAAUGAGCCCAAAAAGGUUAGAGUGAGGUGUAGGGAUGGCUGCCCAUGGCUGCUAUAUGCAAGUCUUGACAAGAAGACUAAUGAUUUCAUGAUCAAAACCUACAAUCCUAAACAUAGGUGUGUCAAGACUACUAGAAAUUACAUGUGCAAUGCUAAGUUCUUGUCUAAGCAUUACAAGAAUAGAAUUACAGAACAGCCAAACAUUAGGAUUUUCAAGUUUUAGCAGUUGAUUAGGGAAGAACUUAACAUACAUGUUGGAAAAACCACUGCCAAGAGAGCUAGAGCUAAAGUACUCCAAGAAAUCAUUGGUGAUCAUGUGUUAGAGUUUGGAAGAAUAUUUGACUAUAGGGAUGAAAUGUUGAGGACUAAUCCUGGGAGUACUUGUGUUGUUAAGGUUGAUGACUCUGGUGAAAGUGGUAGGUUGGUGUUUGAAAGUUUUUAUAUUUUCUUUGAUGCUUUGAAAAAAUGCUUUUUAGGUGGCUGUAGGAAAUGUAUUGGUUUGGAUGGUUGUUUCUUAAAGGGAAUAACCAAAGGACAGCUAUUGGCUACUGUUGCUAAAGAUGCUAAUAAUCAAAUGUUGCCUAUUGCUUGGGCUAUAGUGGAAUAUGAGAAUAAGAACACUUGGACAUUGUUUUUUAAAUUGUUGAUAGCUGAUUUGGGAAUGGGAGAUGGCAGCAACUACACAGUGAUAUCAGACAUGCAAAGGUAUGACAAUCAUUUUUUUUUCUUCAUUUAGUUUCUGUCCAUUCAUAUAUAACUGUUUCUCAAAAUUGUAGGGGCUUCAAUCAACUAUGCAAGAAUUGUUACCACUGGUGGAGCACAGGAUGUGUGCAAGACACAUCCUAGCCAACUGGGCAAAAGGAUGGAGAGGUCUUCAAAGAAGGAACCAAUUCUGGAAGUGUGCAAAAAGCACCUUUGAAGGAGAGAUGAAGAUAAAUCUGGAUAAAAUGAAACAGCUUGGUACUGCCAAGGAUGGUAAGGAUAUUGUUACAGAUUUACUGUACUACCCACCUGAAACUUGGUGUAAACUGUACUUUAGAACUGACAUUAAGUGUGAUAGUGUGGACAAUAAUAUGUCUGAGAGCUUCAAUGCCUGGAUUUUAGGACCAAGGCAUAAAACCAUUAUCACUAUGCUUGAAGAGAUUAGAGUGAAGGUAAUGACUAGAAUAGGUUAGUUGAGUCAAUUUCCAAAAACAUGGUUAACCAAUAUAUCUCCAAUGGCACUGAGGGUACUAGAAAUCAACAUAAAGAAGUCAAUGGAAUGUAAUAUUGAUUUCAAUGGUGAGAGAGGGUUUGUAAUUAGUGAUGGGCCAUAUCAACAUACUGUUGGUUUGAGAAAUAGAACUUGCAGUUGUAGGGCCUGGAUGCUCAAGGGAAUACCAUGUCAACAUGCCCUUGCUUCCAUAUUAUAUAAGAAGUAUGAACCCAUUGAGUUUGUUGAUAGCUGCUACAGUAAGAAGACCUACUUGAGGACUUAUUGUCAUUUUCUUCAACCAGUCACCAAUAUGAAAAUGUGGCCUGAGUCUAAUAACCCCUAUGUUGCACCACCAGUUGUAAAGCCUAUGCCAGGCAGACCAAAGAAGGUCAGGAGAAGAGAAGCAACUGAGUCAAAAAGAUAUGAUAAGUUGUCAAGAAAAAGAGUUGACAUGACUUGCAGCAUUUGUCAUGGUAAAAACCAUAAUAAAAGAGGCUGUCCUUUGAAGGAUUCUGGUAGAACAAGCUAUGGUAAUGGACCAGAUAUUGCUGCAGCAUCUCAGGCAAGCUUUGCUGAAUCAAGUGCUGCACCUGUAAGAGCUAGGGGAAGGCCAAGAAAGACUUCUCAAGCACCUGAAGCACCAGCAAAAGCUAGGGGAAGGCCAAGGAAAAUCCAUUAACUUUUGAGGCACCAGCAAGAGCAAGUGCAAGGCCAAGGAGUACUUCUGAAGCACCACCAACAGCAAGUGCAAUGCCCAGAAGUACUUCUCAAGCACCAACAAGAGGUAUGGGAACAAGGAGGACAACCAUUACUGCUAAAUGGUUUGAAAAUGCAACAAGUUAUGCUGCACCUGUUGCAGCCAACGCACCUGUCCAACCUGUUGCUUCUCAGUCUAAUGUGAGUAGGGGAAGACCAAGAAAAACCUCUCAAGCUUCUAAUGCUGCACCUGUUGUAGCCAAUGCACCUGAUCAACCUGCUGCUUCUCAGUCUAAUGUGAGGAGGGGAAGACCAAGAAAAACCUCUCAAGCUUCUAGUGUAACAGUUGUUGAUAAUGAAAGAAGAAGAACUACCCCUUACAAAAGGCCUAGGACUGUUGGAAUGGGUAUAUUUGUCGCAGAAAAUGGAUUUACAACAUACAGUCAUGGCUUGCCAAGUAGUAGGAUAAUUGAUGCUGCUCCAACAAAGCAUAUAAGGUCAGCUGAUGUUACUUGGGGACCUUGGUCACAAAGCAAGGAAUGGAGUGAGGUGGAAGGGCAAAACAUCAAUGACAUCAAGCCAGCUUGAAAAUAUGAGGGUAAAGAAAAGGAAAAAAGUGACAGCAACCCAGAACUCGCAGACAAAGGAUCCAUGGAAGUAGUGUUAAUAUGUUGGUAGUUGGCACAACAAAUUAAUGUAGUUAGCAGUUUUUGCAGUUCAUAAACAAACUAAAGUAGCUGUGGUUUAGAUGUUUGUUUUGUGACAUUAUGCUACUGCACUACUUUUGUACAAACUUAUAUUGGUGCAAUUGUUUAUAUAUAGCAAGGUCUGUUUCUAUUAUUAA
Lycium barbarum (goji berry) is the source of this 6481-nucleotide RNA transcript. RefSeq lists it as uncharacterized. The transcript has 3 exons. The record is from RefSeq and is a predicted model, not a curated record. NCBI's taxonomy places the organism in Eukaryota, Viridiplantae, Streptophyta, Magnoliopsida, Solanales, Solanaceae.